UACGGGGGGAGCAAGCGUUGUUCGGAUUUACUGGGCGUAAAGGGCGCGUAGGCGGCGUGACAAGUCACUUGUGAAAUCUCCGGGCUUAACCCGGAGCGGUCAAGUGAUACUGUCGUGCUAGAGUGCGGAAGGGGCUACUGGAAUUCUCGGUGUAGCGGUGAAAUGCGUAGAUAUCGAGAGGAACACCUGCGGCGAAGGCGGGUAGCUGGGCCGACACUGACGCUCAUGCACGAAAGCGUGGGGAGCAAACAGG
RNAcentral lists this ribosomal RNA (253 nucleotides) under uncultured bacterium. Its description in RNAcentral is "partial 16S ribosomal RNA". It matches the Rfam family "Bacterial small subunit ribosomal RNA", at positions 524 to 776 of the family's 1533-position model. The record is from RNAcentral.